ACGAAGCGCGAGUGCCUUGCAGUUUACGUACAGUGUUGGACACCCAAAGCUAUCCUUAAACUGUGUAAAGACUGUGUAUCUGGUAGAGUGACUGAAAUGUUGAAACCUGUUGAAAGAAAACUUCGACGAAUCGAAGGAUACGAAUGUGUUACAUUGGCGGUUGUUAUUUACAGGAAGGACUUCAUAAAAUCAAUUGACUUAUUAGUUCGUCGUCUUAAGUGUUAUUUCGACAACAUGCCUCGGACGGAAGAAUUGAUCUCGACACACAGGAACGGUUUUACACCGACAGAUAUUGCACCGACACUACACGCCUUUGAAUUUGCAACAAAAGUAAAUAUUCAAGAAAAUAACGAACAAGAAAUAAUUGGCGGGGAUACAGAAACGAAUCAAGCAUUGCCUGGCACGUUUAAACACAGAUAUGGUCGGGGAACGGAUGACGUUAUUUAGUCUAAAUUGAGCCAAGAAUCAAAUGAAGAGGACGCCAAAACAACCAUUAUUGGAUAUACGCCCGUUUCCAAUGAUAGUUCGAAAAGUAAAGAUCCAGAAUAUAGAAGUGACAUAAGGACAGAUUCGAACAACACACUGGAUGCUGAACUACAUCUAGGAU
Dreissena polymorpha is the source of this 607-nucleotide long non-coding RNA. RefSeq lists it as uncharacterized. The transcript has 3 exons. The record is from RefSeq and is a predicted model, not a curated record. NCBI's taxonomy places the organism in Eukaryota, Metazoa, Mollusca, Bivalvia, Myida, Dreissenidae.